Molecule: long non-coding RNA, 2806 nt
Filed under: Mytilus galloprovincialis (Mediterranean mussel)
Lineage: Eukaryota; Metazoa; Mollusca; Bivalvia; Mytilida; Mytilidae
Source: RNAcentral
UGUUUAGCACUUGGUCAGAUAUAUUUUAAAUUCAGUUUCAGAACUUUCUGAGUAAUAUUUUUAAAGCCUAUACUAAAAUGUUGUAAUUAACAACAUUGGAAACAGUUAAUAUCAAACCAUUUGUGUAACAUUGAUUUUGAAUUUCAACAUGUACAAGAUUAGUAAGUUUUUUUGUUGAUGUAUAAGUACUGUUUCAUUUUAACAUUAACAUGAAGCUUCUUGGCUGCCAUUUCAACCAGUUCAGAAGGUGAACUCUCUUCCUUAUCUGAUUUUGUUGAUCUUUAUAACAAAUUUAAAAAAUCAAUAGUAUAGCUAUACAAUAAAAAAAACAUUGCAUAAAGCAUGUAUCUGGUGUAUAAAAUUAAUCAUUUUAGACACCCAUAGGUGAUGCUUAAUUUUGUAAAAUGGGACAAGUUGUUCCUAGCUACAGGUUUCACUGUUUAUAAAUGAUAUGUACCAGCUAGCAUAUUUCUGGUUAUUUGCCAUACAUAUUGAGAUAAUAAGCCUUCAAAUUAUGCAUAUGACAUUUUUAACCAUAUUUGUUUGAAAAAAAUACAGACAUGUAUUUUCUGUUUUUAAUAUGCUCAACCUAAUUAAUAGGGGGCUUUAAUGUUUUCCUGUCUGUGCAUCCUUCUGUCCGUCCAUUUGUCUAUCCCAUUUCAGGUUUUAAAUUUUUGGUUCAGGUAGUUGAACAUUAAGUUGUGCUCACUUUAUCUGGAAACUUAAGUGCAUGUUCUGGGUAAUACAUGUAUGUUCAUUGUCAUGUGAAUAUUUAAAAUGAUGUGUUGAUUUACACUUGACCCUAAUACAGGGUUGACUGAAAAUCAAAACUUUAAAAUGUGAGGGGAGCAUUUCCUAUAGACACGUAUUCUUGCUUUUUUUAUUGACUUGCAUCGUCUUUCUUGCAGAACAUUGUUAUAUACAAGCAAAUUAAAUUUAAAUAGAUUUUAUCCUGCAAUUGGCUGUCCUACUAUACAGAUACAGCCCUACAGAUAUCGCUAUGCUGUAUCUGUAUACUAUACAGAUAUCGCUUAAAGCUCCGCCCACUGCCGGACUGAGUAUUGUUUGAACCUGUGUGACCUCAGAAUGUGUAUUGAAUGUGUAUGAUUGUGUUACAAAAUCAACCAUGUCAAUUUCAGCAUGCAUGUUUAGGGAAUGUCAAAUCUGAAGCGUAGGACAACUCGUAGACUUCUGUUUCAAAUUUGACAAUGUUUUGUUAUUCGUUUUAACUGUUGAAAUUAGUUGUUAUGUUAAAAUAGAUAAUUAUUCACCUUGAGCGAUGUAUUAUUGUUGACCAUUCGAGAUUCUUUUUUGCGAACCCGUCUUCAGCGUAAUGUUUGAUUUUGAUAUUACUACGCGGGCCUCAAGGGAUUACAAAUCGAAAAUAAAUGCUAAAUAUGUUAGUUUUUGUGUCUUUCAAAACACAAACAAUAUACAGAAUUAAUUGCAGGAUAAAGACAAUAACUGUUUAGUGUCUUUAAAUAUCAGCUGUAUUUGUACUCGGCUCGAAACAGGUGUAGUAGCUCGCUAAAAGCUCGCAUACACCUUGUUUCCUAGCCUCGUACAAAUACAGCUGAUAUUUAAAGACACUAAACAGUUAUUGUCUAUAUAUUUUUAAAAUAAACUGUGAUAUAUUAAAUGUUUGUGAUUUUUUGACAAAAAAAAAUAGCUUUUUGAAAUAUAGUUUGCAGUAGAUGAAGUAAAAAGGUAUUUACAAAUGUUUCUUUUAUAUUUUAUGGUACUCCACUGAACUUGGGGGUAAAUCUUGUAAUAGUCCAGCAUGCUUAUAGUUUCAUGUGAACUGUGUUUAUUUUGUUAAUAAAUUUGUGUACUUGAUUUCAGUCUUAGAAUAGAGCAGAUUAAGGCAUAUACAUGUAAUUAUAAACCUAAAUAUCAACAGUGAAUUGAAAAGAUUUUUUUUGUUCAAGUUUCCACCUCAGUACAGGAAAGCUAUAUCAUGGCAACUCUCAGAAAAUAUGAAAAAAAAAUGUUUUAGUAUCUUUGAUUGGAGAGAUUUCUUGGAUGCCAACAAAUAUUCAAUAGCUAGUUGUUUUUCAUAAAACUUUUUGGGAAAUAAUUUUUUAAAUACAAUCCAUUCUAUAAGUCAACUUAAUCCUGAUUCCCUUUCAGUUGUGAAUAAGUCAGUUGGUAGUUAUUUGAUAAAGGAUUUGCUUUAGGGAUUUACAUCUUAUAUAUACCAGUCCAAGGUGCUUGGGGCACAGAGGACUACCUUGCAUCAUUAACAGUUUACAUUUAGUAAGAUAUUUUCAAUGAAAUAUUUUUAGCUGAAUUUCCUAUAUCUUUUUAUUGUUAUUACUUGCACAAUCUUACUUUGUUAUUAGUUUAAAUGUGGUGUCCCCUUACUCUAUACUGUAAAAUUAAAGUAGAUGGGUAGCACAUAUAAACUUCUUUCAUAUAAGAUUGUGUUAGUAAACGUAAGAACACAUUUAGUUAUGUAUUAAUGAUUUGUACUUCAUGUAGAAAUAACUACAGGUAUGUUCCUAAUAUAGGUCAAUAUUUUUAGGUCUGUUAUAGUACCAGUAAGUACCAUUACAUUCCAAAUAUAUUGUAAAGCUCAACUAGAAUAAUUGUGUUAUUAUAACCUUUCAUUGUAUGCAUUGUAGACUCUUGUAACCAUGUCAUAGAGUUUUAUUUUUUCUGGAGUAAUGUAGACUUAGAUAAAUUACAAAAAUACAAUGUAUAUCUUUUUUUUCCAAUGAAGGAAUCAAAUGGCAAAAUCAUAUUUGUGUGUUAAGUUCCAUUCUUGUGUGAGGUUUAAGUUAUUCAUAUACCAUUAAAGUUGGGG